UGGAAAUUGUAUCCUAUUAGCUUCUACAA
This 29-nucleotide non-coding RNA is filed under the name Mus musculus (house mouse). The record is from RNAcentral. Lineage: Eukaryota; Metazoa; Chordata; Mammalia; Rodentia; Muridae.